CUAAUUCGCCGAUGUGUAACAAACCUUAAGACCUUUCAUACUUUCAGCAAGGCAAUAUCAAACUACAGUCUGCUCAUACUACAACAGCAUGGCUCAGAAGUGUGAUAGUCCAGGUGCUGAACUGGCCUGCUUAUAUCCUAUAUCCUAAAUCCUAUAUCAGGAAAAAGGACAAAAUUUCGCUCUACAAAGAAAUCAGAAACGGGUGUCUUGAGUUGCCUAAAGUUUAUAAAGUACUGUCAAAAGUAGAGGUAAAGUAACACAAUGGUAACCAUGCCCCUAUCUCAACAGAGUGAGCACACGAAAGAGACAAGACCAGUUUUCAGUUUUGGCAUCAGAUAAAUCUUUAAAGUCCCUUUUAAGAGUUUUUGUUCCUUUUCCUGUUAAAACACGCUUUGAUGAAUACUAAGUUACUUAAUAAAAAGUUCUGACAUUAACAUCUGCCCGCUCACAGCUGUAACUUUAUGUCCACCUGUUGAGGAAUCACUGAGUUUACUGGGUAUUUCAAAGACUGGAAAAAAACUUUUUGCUGCCUGUUACUUUAACAGAUUACAGAGUGUGAAAAUCCUGUUAUUUUGUUAGGAGUGAAAUUUAUACAACUAGCAUUGCCUCUGCACUUUCUCUCAGCCAAUCUAAGCAAACACUGUCCACUAUGAGGAACAACCCAAACACAGCCCUUCUGUUGUUGAUGUGGCUUUUUGAAUUCAACAUGGAGAGUGAGAAUAGGGGUCAUUUUGUGGCUGGUACAAAAAGCAUCAGGGUAGAGUCUCUGUAUGAGAAACUGAAUUUGCUCUCGUCUGAGCCACACAGCUCAAGUCUCUGAAUACAAAUGGAGAGGGAGGGCUGCAGAGAAUACAGCGCCGGCACUCCUGAUUCCUCCAGGAUUGGAUGUGCCUUAUUUCCAAGUGAAGUGCUCGCUGCUACAAUUCUCUGCCCUUUGGUCCUGCCCUGCUAUCUCACUUUCAAUUAUUAGUUUUCUUCUUGUGUUUUUUUUUUUUUUUUUUUUUUUCUCUUUGCAGGGAAGGUGGAGGGGCUGUUAAGAAAGGGGAGGUGAGGUGACCUGAUAUGUAUCAAAUCAGCCCCAACAGAGGACAACUCAUCAUCAGAUUCACUUUUGAUUAGACUCAGGCAUCAGAGGGCCACGGGAGCGCACAGGACUGGUAACAGGCAAUCAGCGAGGGCCACAGGUCAGCGUGUCCACACCUUUGUUUGGGUAACCGUGUCGAGGAUGUGCCUUGCUUCCACAUGAGCUGUUGUGUUGUUAAUGAGGCUGCGAAUACACGCAGAACAAAGACCCCAACAUAGAGCGGCGUGUUCUGUAUGUGCGCUCACACACAGCGAUUUCUGCAGCUUUCCCCUGCGAGCUGGCCGCUUCAGAGGCCGUGUUCAGCUUGUCUUACACUCUUUUAUUGGCAUUGCUUUCUGUAGUUGUUCUGUGCUUGGACUGCAGUAUCCCCAUUCAGGCUUCCAGCCCCUUCAGGGCAUUACUGCAUCACUGUUGAGCCCAGACUGGAUCACAGAUAAGUAGCCAGCUUGUGGACUUAGAAAAUAUUGCUGCUCUUUUCUCGCUUUCCAAUUAGGAGCUACCAGCUACCAAAUAAGAUCAGAGGAUAAAACGGUACAGGUUUCAUAGAGUUUUGAAUAUUUAGUAUGAAAUAUGGAGAUCCUCAGGAAUUAGUGAUUCUUUCCUGGGGGGAGCUUGAUAUUCAAAAAACUUCAUCUUUUACCUCUGCUUUCCUCCCACUGUGGGGAUAAAAGAGCUUACCUGCCAGAAGCGUCCUGUCACAUGGACUAAUUCUGGUGAUUAUGAAGAUGUUUUUGUCACUUAGUCAUGUAUUCACACUCUCCUGUGUAUGUUUUUGGCUCAUCUUAAUUCAGGGCCUCAGCAGAAUUCAAAAUAGAUGACGGUAAUGCUGAGUUUGAUUCACAAAUGCAACAAAGUACAUCUGUUUAUUCCAAGAUGCUUUAGGAUAUCAAGUAUUCUCUUUCAGCUUUCUUGUUUGAGCAUUUAUAAUUAAAGGCAUGGUUGACAAUUGGAGAGAUUGGUAAUUAUUACGAACCCCGUUGAUAUGGCUAUCAUGGUCCUAUAGUGCGAUCUCUACAAAGUGAAGAGAAAAAAGAGUGGAAAAAACCUGUUCACCCUAACAGGUGCAGGGCUGCAAAAACUCAUAUUGGUCAAUCUUCUGCUCCGCCUCUCCAUCCAAUAACCUCGCUGUAUACGACACACCCCUCUCCCGUAGUUCUGACUCGUCCCCUCCCACUUUCCCGGCCCUCCUCGGAGCGCUGAGCGGCUAAAAGAAGCGUAGUAGCUUAGAUACUGGAGCUGUGAUGAAGAGGGACGCAAAAAAAAAAGGAAAGAAAAACAUCUCUGCACCGCCAAAAGUGGGAAGAAAACACAAGCCGACAGAAGAAAGGGCAAAGUCGAAGAGGAAAUGCUACCAAGCGAGGAAUCUAACUUGGAUUAACAUCGGGUCAUCCUUCGAGCGGUGGAGAAAACAGAAGCCGAGACAGCAGAGUUUUUUGUUUAACAGGUAAUUUUGCCUUUUAUUGUGGCACAUGUAAUAUAAAUAACUCUUAUUAGUCUCUGCAAUGUCAAUACGGUAGCUGUCCAGGCAGCUGCAGAUGAUGCUCGCUAGCAGAGCUGGCAUUUACUGCCGCUAGUCACUAGCAAUCCAACAUGGUGUAUCCUAUUUGAAGCUAGUGUAGGAUCUUCUGCCGGCCGGCUUCUUCUUUUGAGCAUUUAUAAUUAAAGGCAUGGUUGACGAUUGGAGAGAUUGGUGCUUUUUUCAAAUCUGCCUCAACGGCCCAGUUUUUUUCAACUGCUUCUCAGAUCGUCAACCAUACCUUUAAGCUAUAGACAGAAAUGAAAGACAGUGUAAUGUUUAAAAUGUGUUAUUCAACCUGUUUCAUGAUGCUGUUGGACUUUGAGCUCAGACUUGAUUUCUUGCCUGUAUCCUUAUUUAGGUAUUUGUAUUUUAAGCCACAACUUCCAAUGCCAAAAAAUAGGGAAAAAUGCUUUUUUUUUUUUUUUGUUAAGCUUGAUCCAGGCUGGUGAUAUUUAUGAUCGUAUUAUUAACUAUCUUUAAAAUAUUAGAAAUAAACUUCCAUCUGUUUUUGAAACAUUAUCAGUCAACAUUUUAGGUAUUUAUAUCUAUUUAGCAAGGUCUCAGCUCUUUGUGCCUCUGGGCUCAUGGACAUCCCCAGCCUAUCAUUCAAAGAUGAAGGCCACUCUCCAAUUGCGGUUGGAGAAACAGUGCGCUGUGGUAUUUGGUGAGUUGUGCCAAAGCAGUCCCAAAAAUACUCCACUCAUUUCCCCAAGACUAGUUCCCCUGCUUUGCCCAGAAAGCUCAGGACUUUGGAAGCCAAAUGUCGUCUUCUGGCACUGGGAGCCAUGCCUUGCCUUCCUGCACUUCAGCCUCCAACUUUCUAGGCAGCUAAUUUCCAGAAGCCCAAUUUCUAAACAUGGAGAAAAUAACAUCGUAUCGUAUUGACUGGGACAUAAAAAGAUAACUUCUGAUAUAGUUCAUGAUGCUUGCCAUCCUCAGACAUUGUGCUCUGCAAUGCCGCACUUACUUCUUGGUAAAUUGACAAUUGUUCAUUGACUCUGUUGUGUUGAUAACCAUUAUCUUAAAAUUGGUAUCCUCACUCCGACUUGGAGCCACUUUGUUCAGGACAAUCACCUUGUCUCUCCAUCUUUGAAUCUUCUCUCACUGCUGUUGCUAAACAGCUGGAGUGAAACCAUCUAUAGGCAAAGAUAUAUGUUAACAUUUGAGUAUAAAUCCUUGUCUUAUAUUCAGGUCUGCGUGGUACGUGAUAUAGUGUUUCUUGAUUCACCACUUAGAGGACAAUUGAAAUGACCUUUAAGCAGUGAAAGGAUUGUCGUCUGGUUCAGGGUCAAACCACUUAAGCAUGUAGGGUUGGAUCAUACCCGUUUUGUGCUGUGCUAUAUUAAGUUGAGCAACCUAAAGCUGGAAAACAAGCUGUUUUUGAUCAAGGUUUUCUGAUAGUUACAGAUGUAUUUUUUACUCAGAUUUUAAUUGGUGCACAAUGAAACACUUAAUCUUGAUAUUCUGAUUUUAAUUUUCUUGACAAUGUUUUAUCUUGACUUUGAAUGGCCAGGGACAUAGCCAGGGUUGCCACGGGUGCACAGCUGUUUGCUAUGUCAGAGACAGUACUUGGAUUAUAAACCACGAUUGAGGUUGUAAUAGGCUGCUCAUCUUACAGCUUUCUUUUUUUUUCUUUUGGACUCGACUGUGGACAAAUGUCUUCUUUUCAAGUUACUAUGGAAUUUAGUUCAUCAGAUGUCAUUUUUGACACACAGUUACCUUUCAAAGUAAUAUUAUAUACAAGGAUAUAUGUCUGGAUGAUUCUUUUAUAGUAUUGCUGUGGAGGAGUCACCUGCAAAAGAGAGGAAAGGAGCUCAAUCUGGAUGCAACCAGCUUUGCUUACUCCCUCCCCUGGUUUCCAUGGAAACAAACCCAUUAGCACUGAUUAUGCCGACCCUUACGCUUAAGGCAAAGGAGUUAAAAAUAAGAAACAUAUGUUCUGAGAUUGACAUUACACAGAUUUAAUAGAAUGUAGAACUAAUGAUGUUUGUACUGAGUGCUCACCUGUGUGUGUAUGAGUGUGCGUGAGUGUACGUGAGAGUGCGUGAGCCAGUAUGUGUGAUUUAGCACUCAGACAAGUUAAGCUGAUCAGCUGGCUGAUGUGAUUGAGCAGGAUAAUUGCUCUGCCGAUGUGAUUGAUUUGGAACCAGUCCAGGGGGAAUUCAAGUAUUGAAUGGUGUGCAGCAGAGGGAUGUGGGUGAUAAAGGAGUGGCAUGAGGGAAUCUAUGUGCAUUGUGCUGUGCUCAUUUAUUAUGGAAUAACUUUAUAUGUGGCUGCAGAAUUGUUUUGUUAUGUAAAAUCUUGAUUAAUCCCCUUUUACAGAUCCUCAUUAACAAUGUAGAAUCUGUGCUGAUGGGACUCCCCAGGGAUUUUAGUCUGGGGGAAUGUUCUAGUUUCCUUUGCAGCGCUUUCAAAUAGUUAUUGAUCAAUCACUUAUCAGCAGGCUUUGGUGUAGAGAGAAACAGCAAUAGUGCAAUCUGCUGUGAUGGCAUACCUGCUUCAUUUUGCAGUAAUUUAACAUCUAUUUAUCUGUCUUUUUAAACACAUAUCUGUGCACAGGUGCAAACCAUUUCAACCUCAAAAUGCUAUUAAUUUUGGAAGACCUGUCAUUGGCAAAAUUAAGACUCAGUUAUGACAAGUCAAUUUUGAGAAAAUUGGAAUACGCCAUUGAUAUGAACCAGAAAAGCCUCUGUGUAACAUCCUCCUUGCAGUAAAGCAGAGAAACUCCCGAGGUACUCCAAUGAACCAAGAAACAACAGCAAUUAUUUAGCAGAUGGAUCCUGAGGGGGGAAUUUCACCACAUUUCACCUUGUUCUGGAAACACAACUGUCUCUAACACAACUGUUGCUAUCUUACUCACUGCUGUGUAAGAACGAUACUUAUCAUUGUUGCAUUUUAACUCAUGCAUUGUAGAUCAUUAUCAUUGCAGCUUUGUGAUACAGUCAUAUCACAGCUUCAUAUGGAACAGUUAUUGUUUCACACAUGAGGUCAUUAUAUCACUGUUAUUUCAAAUGGCUUGCAUUUAUACCACAUUUAAUUUAAUUUGACCUUCUAAGGAGCUGGUUCAUGCUUUGAUGUCUGACUAUUCAGGCCCAAGCUCUUAAACUCCCUGCCAUUCCUGCAAAGAUCUCUUUCAAACAGCCCUUUUUUAGCUUCUCCUACAAAUAUCACAUUUCAUGGUUGGCUACUAUUUUCAGCAAUUUCUCUGAGUUUGUUGUGUUUCAUUUACCACUCCUCCAGCAUCAAACUUGUUCCUUAGAUUCAACAUCUCACUCCCACAAUAUUGAACGGGGUUAAGCCUGACACUGAAUGCCUCUCUUUUCACGUUCAAUUAGUCCUUAUUUUGCUGCCACCUGCUGGUUACAAUGUGUCCUGAGUGGUAUCUUCUUCAUAUGUUUGGAAGAGCAAAUGUAGAUGUGUAACUUCAGAGCAGGGUCAAGGGGAACCUUAGGGCCCCCUUGACAGACACAUUUAUGACUUGAUAACUAAAAUAUAGUUAAAAAGGUAUCAAACGGCCUUGGGUCAUCAGGAGACAUGUUUGUCAUCUGCAUAGUUAUGAAAUUUGAUGUCAUGCCUCCUGAUGAUGUUUCAGUUUAAAGGUUAAAGGACCCAAAACUGAACCCUGAGGAACACCGCAGUUUACAUUGUACCAUUCUGAUGAGUAUUUCAUGAGACUUAAACACAUUUUCUAUCAUAAAGAGAAGAUUUCAAACAGUUAAAAACCAUUAAAAACAAGGAUGCUAAAAACCUUUGUUGAUGGUUGUCAUCAUGUUUCUUUUAUUGACUUUAUCAUUCCAUUAGAGCCAGUGUAGGAUUUACCAUAGAGCAGUCCUGUAACACUAAGGAACAAAUACACUUUUCUGUAACAUAAUUUAUCCCCCAAACUCCAUUCAACCAGGCAGGACCCAUCCAGACCUAUCAAAGUGACUUGGGGGGCCUUGGUAUUGAAUGAAGACAGAUUCUUCAGGCUUCAGUGGCCUCUGCCAGCAGGCAGGGUGGCACAGCCCUGAAAACUGCACACUCAGCAACAACCUUCACUCCACACACAAGACACACACACACCAGUGUGAAGGCAGAUGAAGACAUCUAUUUGUGUGUGUGUGUGUGUUUGAUGGAGUGUGUUUAUGCAUGGUGCGGUGAAGGAGUUUGACAAAUGAACAUUAGGGGGGAAAAGUGCUGCAUGGGGAGUAAUUUCAUGUCCCUGUCUUUGUUUUUAGAUGUUUCUUUCAAAAGGUUGCCAUCUCCAGCCUCUGUCCUCCUGACUGCAUCAUAAUCACCACUUAGAAACCAAGACUUAGACAAAACAAGUCCAGGAGAUUGUAGAGUGUGGCUCAGUUAUAAUGACUAACAACCCCUCUGUAUAUGAAGUGAAUUCUAUCUUCCUGCACAUCUCUCUCUGGGACUCUCUGAUAAGCUGUAAUUGCCUCUAUGCUUAUCUAUGGCCUAAGAUGACAGGACAGGACGGUUCUAGGCCCCCCUUCUCCAAACCACUACUAAAACCAUUUAACUUUGCAGCAGGGACAAAUGAGAUGGCAUGAACAGAUAGACAAAGGCUUAAGUUUUGCACAUUGGUCUUUUCCAAUUGUAAACAUAUUUGGGAUAACGUCAAAGGCCCAUCAUCAGCUACCUUUCAUAGAGUCUUCCAUCAAGGUUUUGUCUGCUGUCAUCUUCCUAACAGCAUAUUUAUGCAACUAUUGGUAUGGAUGUAAUGUUUGCAAAUAGUGGAGAAAAAGUUGGGCACAAUCACAUAAAAUGCAUUAUCAGUCACCCAGCUGAAUUUGAUUGGUUCAAUAAUAUAAAAUAAGGUUUAAAAUGAUGUAAAAUGAGGAUACUUGGGAUAAGUUGGCCAAGUAUGUUUAAGCUACGCCCACCAGCUGCUUUUUAAUUGUCAGUCACCUAUAUGGUUUGGCCUGAAAGACAGACAGUCCAGUUGGGUUUGUUAUUUUUGAUAUGGAGUAUCUUUCAUUGUUUUACUGUCUACACUCUUGUACAAUCAUAUACGGUCAGAUACACUUAAGUACAUCACAGAAAAAACAAACUGACCUUUUUUACAGUUGUUAAAAUGAAAUCUUGUCCCUGCUGUGGUAGCACUCUUUGCAUGUUGCUGAGCGAUGUAGCACAGAGAAUUGGGGUUUGAGUAGUAAAUAGCCGUCAAUGGUUUUGUUACCCAGCAACACUUUUAAAGCUCAAACAUGGCUAAAGCAUUAGUAGGAAAAAUGUCAAUUAUUCCCUACAGGAGUGGAACGUUAAUGAGAAAUUUCAGAAUAAAUUUAAGAAAGGUAUUUGUGAAUGUGGUUUUUUGACUUUACCCAUAUUGCAAUAUGCUGUUCAAGCAGAAGAGCUGACCACCACUGACCCUGCAACCACACGGUGUCAGAAUGAGAUCCAUCUUCACUCAUCAUCACUCAAUUAUCAUAUCCUGAGAGGUGUUGUUGGUCAGCACAUUGGGGGAUAUGAAAAGCAAAGAAGUACUAAAAGCCACCUGCAAAUAGGCUUUGCUAGACUGCAUUGGUAUGCAGCGAUUGGUGGCGACCCAAAUUAAAAAGGAAUGUAUUACACUGGAUUUUACACUUGACUGAACAAGGCCGAGGAAAACUCAUCAACGCACAGAGUGAGAGAUAAAACUCCAAAGGGAGGGCGGAGGGGGAGAGGGCUUCUUCUAUUUGUUUUCUGACCUUGUGAAAAACAUGCAAACAGAUCCAACAAUGCACAGACAUUUCCUUUCAUUUUUGCAUCCUUUUAAUCUUAUUUUUUAAUAUUUUUUUUCAGUUGUUGCAAACUCCUUGUCUUACAUUCAAAUAUCAGUACUGUAGACUUUAUAUGUUAAGUGUUUAGGUUGCGCAAUGACUCAAUCAUGUAUUUGUCAGUACUGCUCUUAAGCCAGUAUAUACUGCAUAAAUUGAGGCCAAUUCUGACAAGAUUUUUAAAUCACAUCACUGUUUUCAAAGUCAGGCCAGAUUUUGAUUGCAAUGUUGCAGAUGGAAGACCGAAUGCACCAUGAUAACAUGAAACAACCAAGUAAUGAACCAACUGUCUAACCAAUGAACCAACUAACCAACAACAGAACAAUGAAACCAACCAGCAUAGCAAUAAACCAACCAACCUAUCAAAGAACCAAUUAACCAACACAUGAAACAACAAACCCACCAAUCAACCAGCUAAUCGACUCCUUAAGGCCCCAGGCACCAAGCGC
This 8796-nucleotide long non-coding RNA is filed under the name Xyrichtys novacula (pearly razorfish). The record is from RNAcentral. Lineage: Eukaryota; Metazoa; Chordata; Actinopteri; Labriformes; Labridae.